Molecule: non-coding RNA, 3003 nt
Organism: Callithrix jacchus (white-tufted-ear marmoset)
Lineage: Eukaryota; Metazoa; Chordata; Mammalia; Primates; Cebidae
Source: RefSeq, a predicted model, not a curated record
GGAGCAGGAUGUGGCCCUGGCCUCGCCAGAGCGUCCGCAGAAGCAGGCCACGAGCGAGGUUGCCAGAGCCCUGGGUGCCGUUUCUUGUUGACUGAAUGCGUUUCCAGGCUUCUGUUGCUUCCUGCACCAUACCUGGUGGGGCGGGAGAGUUCUCUGGGUGCACCAGUUCUUUUUCCUAGGAGGAAAAGCCCCCGGAGCCUUCUGGCUACCUGAGAUUGGGCUCUGAGAGGAGGCUGUAUAUGGGUGACCAGGGCAAUGGUUCUCAGCAGAUGCAUGCUGAUGAAGCGGGAUCGUGAGCCAUCGCUCCCAAGCAGAACCCUGUCAUGUUCACAGCCCGAAUUGAUUUCAUCUACAGGAGUGAGAGGUGAGGGAUUUCUGGAGGCUGCUCAGGGAAACUGCCCCGAUUGGGAUGCUUUUAAGUCUCCCUGAACCAAGCCAUGUGGGCCUAUUCCAAUGAGCAUAAAGUUUUCCUUUGCAUGGAAAGAUCUUGAAAAAGAAGAACUGUUGAGAUCAAGAAGAGGAGAGGCCUGGGGAGAGAGGAAGGACUCAGUACCUUGUUCUCCAGGCAUCAGACAUCAACACCGGCAGCCUGGGCAAUCCACACCUUUGUUCACGUUGAUAUCACUUCUGCCAUUGUCCGCCACUCCCACUCUGACCCAGAGGUACCCACCAAAUGGCCGGCGCCACAAGCCCUCACCAGGUGCUGGGUUGCAGCCGGGCUCCCGCCGAUAGCCCAGAAGCCAGCAACAUCUUCCUCAGGCGGAUGCCCGCGUCUGACCCCACACUAGGGGUGGUGUUGGGAGGCAACCUUGUGAUGUGGAAAACACUGGAGUGGAGAUCAGGGUCUUGGGCUUCCUGCCAUGAACCACCUACAAGACCUUGAUCCAAUUACUUUCUCUCUCUCAGCCCAAGUUUUCUCGUCUGUCAGAUGAGGCCCCUGAGGACCUGUGCAGAGUUAAGAGCCUAGAAGGCAGAGUUCAGCUUAAUAUUUGAUGUCUUUGCUACAUCCUCAACCUAAGUGGUUAAAAGCAAAUGACCUCUUUAGAGAAUACCUAAAUUAAAGAUAGUCUUUCUUGGUGCAAACAUAAAACGAAGAAGACUUUCAGAGGGCUCCCAACUAUAUGUGGAAGAUUGACUGCACACAUUUAUCUUCUUACAUUAUAGCUUGGUGAUUAGGUGGGUACUGGGGCCACACUGCCUGGGGUUGAAUACUGGCUCUGCCACUUACAACUAAUCUGAGGCAACUCUCUGUUCAUUUCUUCAUUUGCAAAACAAAGAAUUGAGGGAACAGUGAUAAGGUGGCUUCCCCUAGGCCCUGAAUACAAGAAACAUGGGAAAGAAAACAGCUACCCCUUGAGAGGCUGUGGGAGGCAGCAUUCCCGGGGAAAGCUGGGUUUGGAUCAGAACCGUGAGGUGAAGGAAGCAUCACAGAAGAGGACGUCAGGGAUGUGGCUGCUGAUGGAUGGAGGCAGAAAGCAGGGCAUACAGAGCUACAUGGGUCGGAAGUCUCCAUGGGAGUCCUGGGCUUCCUACAGGGCCUGGGAUAAAGGGUUCAACAAGAUUAGUCUACGACUGGAUAGGAAGCCAUGCCACCUGGAGGUGAGGGAGCUGGGGAGAUGUGGGUCUUUCCAGAAACACUUGGGCUCCUUUCCCAGUCUUGCUGAGGCCUGUGGGAGCUCAGAGGCAAGCUGUUCUAGAGAGGACACGUGUAGCCCGAGGGCUUCUUGACAAGCCCAUCUUGGAAUGAAGAAAUACUGAUUUCUUCCUUCAGGCUGGAGACUCUCAGGUAACAGGAAUUCCAGGGGCAGUGCAGGCAAAGGCUAAGGCAUCUGUGUAUUGACUCAGGUUUACACAACUGCUGGCGGCAGCUGGGACCAUCCACCUCUUCAGGAAUGGCUGCCACUCUUUUGUUAUGACUAUGGGUUUCCAGCUAUUGCCUGCUGUUGACCCCCCAAUGUGACAGCUGAACAGCGCCACAAAGCAGGAGUCUCCCUGCCCCACCUGUGUUCUACAACCGCCUCGGAUGGUGGCGAUCUGGUCUUUUCAACAGAAGCGGAAGUGCUCACCUGCCUAUUACCUACGACGUGGAACCCAGUGAGGGACAGUACGUGGUUCAUCAGCUCGCUCACUCCAUGACCGAUCCUACAAUGAAUUAUUUUUCCUAAAGCAAAGGAGAAACAAUAGAUUCUAAAAGAGUAUGUGACUCUUAUUUUCUGUCUUAGGAAAACAAUAGCAAAACCACCUAGGCACUUGUGUACAUAUUUACAUUUAUUUACAAACGUUUCUAUGUUAUUAGUAAAAACCAUCUUUUGAUAAAAAAGCAAGCACCAAGUCAUAUAAUACGCUGAUGAGAGUCAGACUAAUGCUUGUUCUCUGUUCGUGGGUAUUUCUUCUUAAAAACCACAGCUGCUUCAGGAGUUCUUCGAACAUUGGAAUACUUAAACGAAAAAUCCGAUGGCUUUUUAGCUUUUAAAAUAAUUUAGUUAUUACGCCAUUGGCUUCAUCUUCUUUACCAAUCAACUGGAGCUACAAAAAAAAAAAAAAAUUCAUAUUAUAAAAUGCAGUAAAGCUGGGCUGCAGACCAGUAGUCCUAACUACGCUCCUAUUCUAAUGUGAAUAGCCUUUUUGUAAUAAACUCAUCAAAGCCAAGGGUGCUAGGGUGCUAGGGAGCAGGGAUGGAGGGGGAGGGGCCUUGAGCACUCGUGGGAUGUAGCCUGAGUCCCACCUGAACAACAACCUUGAGGAUGUUGCACUCAGUAGCGGCCCCAAGGCUCCUCCCACCGACUCUUUGAGUGGAACUGAAACACCAAACAAUGGAGCGGAGACUGUUAGACCUACAGGUAAACUGUCACCUAUUCCUAACAGCUACUUCCUUCUUUGCUACAUGAAACUGCUGGGGAUAGUUUUCUUCCCACCUCAAACUUCUCUUCCUGUGUAGUCAUCUCUGUGGUGGUGACAGAACAAUCUCUGGCUGUCUCAGAGUAAAUCAGCCAAAAAACAAAA